Molecule: ribosomal RNA, 462 nt
Filed under: uncultured Rhodoferax sp.
Lineage: Bacteria; Pseudomonadati; Pseudomonadota; Betaproteobacteria; Burkholderiales; Comamonadaceae
Description: bacterial SSU rRNA
Rfam family: Bacterial small subunit ribosomal RNA
Source: RNAcentral
ACCCGCACAAGCGGUGGAUGAUGUGGUUUAAUUCGAUGCAACGCGAAAACCUUACCCACCUUUGACAUGUACGGAAUCCUUUAGAGAUAGAGGAGUGCUCGAAAGAGAGCCGUAACACAGGUGCUGCAUGGCUGUCGUCAGCUCGUGUCGUGAGAUGUUGGGUUAAGUCCCGCAACGAGCGCAACCCUUGUCAUUAGUUGCUACAUUUGGUUGGGCACUCUAAUGAGACUGCCGGUGACAAGCCGGAGGAAGGUGGGGAUGACGUCAAGUCCUCAUGGCCCUUAUAGGUGGGGCUACACACGUCAUACAAUGGCUGGUACAAAGGGUUGCCAACCCGCGAGGGGGAGCUAAUCCCACAAAGCCAGUCGUAGUCCGGAUCGUAGUCUGCAACUCGACUACGUGAAGUCGGAAUCGCUAGUAAUCGUGGAUCAGAAUGUCACGGUGAAUACGUUCCCGGGUCUU